RNAcentral lists this ribosomal RNA (497 nucleotides) under uncultured bacterium. RNAcentral describes it as "partial 16S ribosomal RNA". It matches the Rfam family "Bacterial small subunit ribosomal RNA", at positions 28 to 507 of the family's 1533-position model. The record is from RNAcentral.
GAUGAACGCUGGCGGCGUGCCUAAUACAUGCAAGUCGAGCGAACAGACGAGGAGCUUGCUCCUCUGACGUUAGCGGCGGACGGGUGAGUAACACGUGGAUAACCUACCUAUAAGACUGGGAUAACUUCGGGAAACCGGAGCUAAUACCGGAUAAUAUAUUGAACCGCAUGGUUCAAUAGUGAAAGACGGUUUUGCUGUCACUUAUAGAUGGAUCCGCGCCGCAUUAGCUAGUUGGUAAGGUAACGGCUUACCAAGGCAACGAUGCGUAGCCGACCUGAGAGGGUGAUCGGCCACACCGGAACUGAGACACGGUCCAGACUCCUACGGGAGGCAGCAGUAGGGAAUCUUCCGCAAUGGGCGAAAGCUUGACGGAGCAACGCCGCGUGAGUGAUGAAGGUCUUCGGAUCGUAAAACUCUGCUAUUAGGGAAGAACAAAUGUGUAAGUAACUAUGCACGUCUUGACGGUACCUAAUCAGAAAGCCACGGCUAACUACGUG